Zingiber officinale is the source of this 189-nucleotide long non-coding RNA. RefSeq lists it as uncharacterized. NCBI's taxonomy places the organism in Eukaryota, Viridiplantae, Streptophyta, Magnoliopsida, Zingiberales, Zingiberaceae. The transcript is spliced from 2 exons. The record is from RefSeq and is a predicted model, not a curated record.
GGCGUCUCCGGUGGCCGGCCAAAGGCUCAUUCAAAGGCUUCUUCAUCUCCUUGCGUUCCUCUCGUCGAGGAGGAGCCGUGAGCACAAGGAGGGACCGAAAGCUCGAGUUCUCCGAAGCCCUAGAAUUGUUCUCGCCGGCUGUAAGUCUAAGGAACCGAUAUACAGGAAAGGAAAAGAUAUAGAAAGGAA